Molecule: ribosomal RNA, 301 nt
Filed under: uncultured bacterium
Lineage: Bacteria
Description: partial 16S ribosomal RNA
Rfam family: Bacterial small subunit ribosomal RNA
Source: RNAcentral
CAGUAGCCGCGGUAAUACAGAGGGUGCGAGCGUUAAUCGGAUUUACUGGGCGUAAAGCGUGCGUAGGCGGCUUUUUAAGUCGGAUGUGAAAUCCCUGAGCUUAACUUAGGAAUUGCAUUCGAUACUGGGAAGCUAGAGUAUGGGAGAGGAUGGUAGAAUUCCAGGUGUAGCGGUGAAAUGCGUAGAGAUCUGGAGGAAUACCGAUGGCGAAGGCAGCCAUCUGGCCUAAUACUGACGCUGAGGUACGAAAGCAUGGGGAGCAAACAGGAUUAGAUACCCGCGUAGUCCCUGUCUCUUAUAC